This 831-nucleotide ribosomal RNA is filed under the name Fissurina sp. Luecking 24022. RNAcentral's name for it is "SSU rRNA". It matches the Rfam family "Bacterial small subunit ribosomal RNA", at positions 342 to 1232 of the family's 1533-position model. Lineage: Eukaryota; Fungi; Ascomycota; Lecanoromycetes; Ostropales; Graphidaceae. The record is from RNAcentral.
UUCUAGGCCGUGAAGGAAUAUUGGUCAAUAGCCUAACGGCUGAACCAGCAACUAGGAGGAAUGUAAAAUUACUGUAAAAGGUAGUUUUCUGUAUUAAAAAUUAAAUAUAGAGUUAACGUAGUUAAGUAAAGUUCCAAGUAGAAAUUGAUUAUGACAAUUUCUAUAUAUGUCUUGACCAAUUCAUGUGCCAGCAGUCGCGGUAACACAUGUAAGACUGGUGUUAUUCAUCUUUAAUAGGUUUAAAGGGUACCUAGACAGUUAAUUAAGCCUUUAAAGGUACUAAUUAACUAGAGUUUAAUGUAAGAAGAAGAGUACGGUGAGUGUAGAGAUAAAAUUCAGUGAUACCACUUAGAAACUGGCAAAUGCGAAGGCAAUCUUUUAUGUAAAAACUGACGUUGAGGGACGAAGGCUCGUUAAAAAUAACAGGAUUAGAUACCCUAGUAUUGUGGGCAGACAAUGAUGAAUGUCAUAUGCAAGAAAUUUUUUUGUGUAUAAAUGAAAGUGUAAGCAUUCCACCUCAAGAGUAAUAUGGCAACAUAUAAACUGAAAUCAUUAGACCGUUUCUGAAACUCGUAGUGAAGUAUGUUGUUUAAUUUGAUGAUCCACAAAGAACCUUACCACAAUUUGAAUAUCCACACACGUUGUGUGGUUACAAGAGUUGCACGGCUGUCUUCAGUUAAUGUCGUGAGACUUUGGUUAGAUCCAUUAAAUUAACGUAUAACCCUUACUUUAUUUAGUAUAAAAUAGUUCGCCGCUAUAUUGGUAGUGAUAUAAGGGACCAAGACAAGUCAUCAUGGCCUAUAUAUUGUGGGCUAUAGACGUGCCACAUNA